UCGGGUGUAGUGUAUGGUGCACAGCUGGAGUUUCUAGUGCAUCCUCUAUAGAUCUAGCAGCAGGACGGGGUUCGACUCCCCGCACCCGAA
This is a non-coding RNA of Mycena galericulata, 90 nucleotides long. The record is from the annotation of a GenBank genome assembly. Lineage: Eukaryota; Fungi; Basidiomycota; Agaricomycetes; Agaricales; Mycenaceae.